UACGUAGGCAGCAAGCGUUGUUCGGAGUUACUGGGCGUAAAGAGUAUGUAGGCGGUUGCGUAAGUUCGGUGUGAAAUCUCCCGGCUUAACUGGGAGGGUGCGCCGAAAACUGCGUGGCUUGAGUGCGGGAGAGGAGAGCGGAAUUCCUGGUGUAGCGGUGAAAUGCGCAGAUAUCAGGAGGAACACCGGUGGCGAAGGCGGUUCUCUGGGCAUGUCCUGACGCUGAGGAGCGAAAGUGUGGGGAGCGAACAGG
This 253-nucleotide ribosomal RNA is filed under the name uncultured bacterium. RNAcentral's name for it is "partial 16S ribosomal RNA". It matches the Rfam family "Bacterial small subunit ribosomal RNA", at positions 524 to 776 of the family's 1533-position model. The record is from RNAcentral.